AGCGAACGCUGGCGGCAGGCCUAACACAUGCAAGUCGAGCGCCCCGCAAGGGGAGCGGCAGACGGGUGAGUAACACGUGGGAACGUGCCCUUCAGUUCGGAACAACCCAGGGAAACUUGGGCUAAUACCGGAUACGUCCGUAAGGAGAAAGAUUUAUCGCUGAAGGAUCGGCCCGCGUCUGAUUAGCUUGUUGGUGAGGUAACGGCUCACCAAGGCUACGAUCAGUAGCUGGUCUGAGAGGAUGAUCAGCCACACUGGGACUGAGACACGGCCCAGACUCCUACGGGAGGCAGCAGUGGGGAAUAUUGGACAAUGGGCGCAAGCCUGAUCCAGCCAUGCCGCGUGAGUGAUGAAGGCCCUAGGGUUGUAAAGCUCUUUCGGCGGGGAAGAUAAUGACGGUACCCGCAGAAGAAGCCCCGGCCAACUUCGUGC
RNAcentral lists this ribosomal RNA (432 nucleotides) under uncultured bacterium. Its description in RNAcentral is "bacterial SSU rRNA". It matches the Rfam family "Bacterial small subunit ribosomal RNA", at positions 29 to 508 of the family's 1533-position model. The record is from RNAcentral.